Molecule: transfer RNA, 75 nt
Filed under: Verrucomicrobia bacterium GWC2_42_7
Lineage: Bacteria; Pseudomonadati; Verrucomicrobiota
Description: tRNA-Arg
Rfam family: tRNA
About the family: Transfer RNA (tRNA) molecules are approximately 80 nucleotides in length.
Source: RNAcentral
GUCCCCAUAGUUCAAAGGACAGAACCGCGGUUUCCUAAACCGUUAAUCCGCGUUCGAAUCGCGGUGGGGGCGCCA